UGCAGGACUUGGCCCGUGCUGCAUGAAUGUCUGCGUCUUUGCUCUCCUCGAGCCAGUUGCCUGAUGGCUUCAUGGGGUGCCCGUAGCUCUGGUAGCAUCUUUCCCUACCUACCUCUGUUGCACUAUUUAGGAGUUUUUUUUUAUUCUCCAUCCUUUUCCUUUUAUCAUUUCCUCAGAGAGCUGGAAGGUUGAUAUAAUCCCAGGAGCUGAAAAAUUGAAGAAAAUCUCUAGCGAGUCAGAAUCCAAGACAACUCCUCAUUUUGUUGAAGAAUUGUCCAGAAAUGAAGAAGACUUUCCUGUCAGAGGGAGAUUUCUCUGCCAUGGAUCUCAUCUGGGUUCUGGAAACUACUGUUCCCCUGAGAAAAUGAAGGGAAUAUGGACCUCUCCAGGAGUCAAAUUUCUGUCUUUUGCAUACCUGCACUGAUUGGGCUUCCAAGGUGGGAGAUUUCUUACCUUCUCCUUUGGAUAGUAACAGCAGAGCAUUUGUUUGGUCCACCUUGCCCAGGGAGGAGGCUACCAUCAGCACUAGUGGGCAUGCAGGUUCAGAGAGAUGGGCAGGAUCUGCAUGAGCCUUGAACCAAGACUGCUGAACACGUCAGUAGGUGUUUUGCUUGACUUUACACUCCAUGUUUGGGCAUGUUUGAAAGCAGGCAAGGCAGUUGACUGAAUGCAUUCAGAUCUCCAGCCCAGAGGAGAUGACAAUUUAAUUUUGAAUCACAGAAUCACAGAGUAACACAGAAUCACAGAACUGCAGCGGUUGGAAGGGACCUCAUGAAAACGAAUCCAGCUCCCCUGCUAAAGCAGGUACCCUACAGCACGUUGCAUAGGCAGAAAAGGUAAUUUAUGUUUCUUCUGAGCCUCAAGAGACAAUAUGGGCAUGCUGCGUUACCAUGCCCUAAAUGAAAUCUUAGAGUACCUAAGUAAAACUCACUCCACCCUUACCUGGAAGUUCCACUCAUGGAAACCACAUCCUUU
Molecule: long non-coding RNA, 975 nt
Filed under: Gallus gallus (chicken)
Lineage: Eukaryota; Metazoa; Chordata; Aves; Galliformes; Phasianidae
Source: RNAcentral